GGACGAGGAUGGGACUCGAAACCACGCGGGCAGAGCCCAAAGGAUUAGCAGUCCAUCGCCUUAACCACUCGGCCACCUCGUC
RNAcentral lists this transfer RNA (82 nucleotides) under Araneus ventricosus. RNAcentral describes it as "tRNA-Ser". The record is from RNAcentral. Lineage: Eukaryota; Metazoa; Arthropoda; Arachnida; Araneae; Araneidae.